This is a non-coding RNA of Vicia faba (fava bean), 222 nucleotides long. The record is from the annotation of a GenBank genome assembly. NCBI's taxonomy places the organism in Eukaryota, Viridiplantae, Streptophyta, Magnoliopsida, Fabales, Fabaceae.
AUGCUGAUUGGAUUAAGGAAGCAUCAUCAUCUUCUCAUCACACUUAAUGGGAUCAGAAUUUACAAUCAAGAAGGAAGAAGAUUGAAUCUAACUUGGAGAAAUCUCAAUUGCAUGCAAAAAGAUCUUGGAAUAAGGAGAAUUGAAGAUUGCUAUCAUCAUCCAUCAUCUUCACGACCUCCUUUCGUAAUUCAGGUCCCUUUUAAGCAAGGUGGGGUUCUUUAG